AACGAACGCUGGCGGCAUGCCUAACACAUGCAAGUCGAACGAGACCUUCGGGUCUAGUGGCGCACGGGUGCGUAACGCGUGGGAACCUGCCUUUAGGUUCGGAAUAACUCAGAGAAAUUUGAGCUAAUACCGGAUGAUGUCUUCGGACCAAAGAUUUAUCGCCUUUAGAUGGGCCCGCGUUGGAUUAGCUAGUUGGUGGGGUAAAGGCCUACCAAGGCGACGAUCCAUAGCUGGUCUGAGAGGAUGAUCAGCCACACUGGGACUGAGACACGGCCCAGACUCCUACGGGAGGCAGCAGUGGGGAAUAUUGGACAAUGGGCGAAAGACUGAUCCAGCAAUGCCGCGUGAGUGAUGAAGGACUUAGGGUUGUAAAGCUCUUUUACCCGAGAUGAUAAUGACAGUAGUGGGAGAAUAAGCUCCGGCUAACUCCGUG
This 433-nucleotide ribosomal RNA is filed under the name uncultured bacterium. Its description in RNAcentral is "partial 16S ribosomal RNA". It matches the Rfam family "Bacterial small subunit ribosomal RNA", at positions 29 to 507 of the family's 1533-position model. The record is from RNAcentral.